This 1156-nucleotide long non-coding RNA is filed under the name Oryza sativa (Asian cultivated rice). RNAcentral describes it as "long non-coding RNA (OSAT_LNC000079)". The record is from RNAcentral. Lineage: Eukaryota; Viridiplantae; Streptophyta; Magnoliopsida; Poales; Poaceae.
UUCUUUUCCGCGCCGGAGCUUCUCUUCAACCUCAUCCUCAAGUCGCUGUGACCGCACCAUGCAUAUUCACAUUCCAAGCUAGAAGACGCUUCUCUCCUGCAUGAUGUACCUGCUGAUCACCAACGACUUCCUUGAUUCUACAAUAUGUGGUGUGUGUUUAUACACGUAAGAUUAGACCGUUACCAAGCAAAUCAACAAGGGUCUAGUGUUUUUCUUCCGCCUUACGCUCAAAUCAGUGUACAUUAACAGGACCUAUAUCACAUGGAAAAUAUGAAUACAGGAAUAAUAACAGGACAUAUAUUCCGCGGAGUUUUUUUUUUUAAGUAAAGUGUAUUGGCGGUCCUUAAUCUUGUAGGGUUGUCAUAUAGAUCCCUAAACUCUCAAAAUGCAUAUCCAAGUCUCAGAACUUGUCAAAGUGUAUCAUCUAGGUCCCAAAUCGACACAUCCCCUCUAGGAUCCUACGUGGCGCUGAUAUAGCAUGCCACAUGGACCGAUGGACGUGACGUGUCCUUUUCUUUUUCUUUUUCUUUUCCGUUUUCUUCUUAUUCUUCUUUUUUUCCUUUCUUCUGCUCACGUCACAAAGAAAGGAGAAUAAAGGGGGAAAAGAGAAGAAAAAAGAAAAGGAAAAAAUUUAAAUGGGUCCUAUUUGUCAGUCAAAAUAAUACCACGUCAUGUCCGUGUGACAUACCACAUCAACGCCACGUAGGAUCCUGAAGUGGUUGUGGCGAUUUGGGACCUAGAUGACACACUAUGACAAGUUCUGAGACUUGGAUAUGCAUUUUGAGAGUUUAGGGACCUAGAUGACACACCCCUACAAGUUUAAGGACCACCCAUACACUUUACUCAAGAGAGAGAGAGAGAGAGAGAGAGAGAGAGAGAAUACCUCCUCCGAUAAGUUAGUUUGUCCAUCAGGGAAAAAGGCCAAACACCAAGCGCAAUGCAGGGAGAAAAACAAGCUGGCCCACAAGCUAUUUCUUGCAUCAUAUAACAUAUUUUCAGCCAUUUCACAUGCUAGAAAUGUAGACAUCUCCUAUGAGACAAUCAUUUAAAAUAGAACCCACUGGACGACCUGCUUGGUUUGGCAUUUGGAAUUGACAGCGCAAAUGUAGUUGUCCUGGAGGAUAUCAAUCAAAUAAUCCCCCUCCAUCCUUCAGUA